GAUGAAGAACGUAGCGAAAUGCGAUACGUAAUGUGAAUUGCAGAAUUCAGUGAAUCAUCGAAUCUUUGAACGCAUAUUGCGCUCUCUGGUAUUCCGGAGAGCAUGCUUGUUUGAGUAUCAGUAAACACCUCAACUUCCAUAUCUUUUUUGAAAUGGGAGUUGGACUUGAGUGAUCCCAACGCUUUUCCUCACCGAAAAGUGGCGGGUUACUUGAAAUGCAGGUGCAGCUGGACUUUUCUCUGAGCUAUAUGCAUAUCUAUUUAGUCUGCCUAAAAAACAGAUUAUUACCUUUGCUGCAGCUAACAUAAAGGAGAUUAGUUCUUGUGCUGACUGAUGCAGGAUUCACAAAGACAGGCUUCGGCCGACUUUGUAAACUCGAUCUCAAAUCAAGUAAGACUACCCGCUGAACUUAAGCAUAUCAAUAAGCGGAGGA
This 433-nucleotide unclassified non-coding RNA is filed under the name soil metagenome. Its description in RNAcentral is "partial contains 5.8S ribosomal RNA, internal transcribed spacer 2, and large subunit ribosomal RNA". The stretch from base 1 to 120 matches the Rfam family "5.8S ribosomal RNA", at positions 35 to 154 of the family's 154-position model. The record is from RNAcentral.